RNAcentral lists this ribosomal RNA (1242 nucleotides) under metagenome. RNAcentral describes it as "bacterial LSU rRNA". It matches the Rfam family "Bacterial large subunit ribosomal RNA", at positions 1564 to 2815 of the family's 2925-position model. The record is from RNAcentral.
UGAAUACGAGACGCUAAGGCGUUGAAGUAGUGUAUGUCAUACUUCCAAGAAAAGCUUGCACUGUCAUAGAUAAAAAACGCCUGUACCAUAACCGACACAGGUGGGUAGGUAGAGUAUACUAAGGGGCGCGAGAUAACUCUCUCUAAGGAACUCGGCAAAAUAACUCCGUAACUUCGGGAGAAGGAGUGCCUUAUUUAUAAGGCUGCAAUAACAAGAUCCAAGCAACUGUUUAUCAAAAACACAGGUCUCCGCUAAGUCGUAAGACGAUGUAUGGGGGCUGACGCCUGCCCAGUGCCAGAAGGUUAAAGAAGUUGGUUAGCAAUAGCGAAGCUGAUAACUGAAGCCCUGGUGAACGGCGGCCGUAACAAUAACGGUCCUAAGGUAGCGAAAUUCCUUGUCGGGUAAGUUCCGACCCGCACGAAAGGCGUAAUGAUUUGGAUACUGUCUCGGAGAGGGGCUCGGUGAAAUAGACUUGUCUGUGAAGAUGCAGACUACCUGCACCAGGACAGAAAGACCCUAUGAAGCUUUACUGUAACUUGAAAUUGAAAUUGGACUUUAUUCGCGCAGUAUAGGUGGGAGGCGUUGAUUGUAAUCUUGCGGGAUUAUUGGAGCCAUCAGUGAGAUACCACCCUUGUAAUGUUAGAUUUCUAACUUUGAAUCAUUAUCUGGUCAAAGAACAGUUUCAGGCGGGCAGUUUGACUGGGGCGGUCGCCUCCUAAACGGUAACGGAGGCGUACAAAGGUUUCCUCUGAACGGUUAGAAAUCGUAUCUAGAGUGUAAAGGCAUAAGGAAGCUUGACUGUGAGACCUACAAGUCGAGCAGGGACGAAAGUCGGUCUUAGUGAUCUGACGGUACUGAGUGGAAAGGCCGUCACUCAACGGAUAAAAGUUACUCUAAGGAUAACAGGCUGAUCUCCCCCAAGAGUUCACAUCGACGGGGAGGUUUGGCACCUCGAUGUCGGCUCACCGCAUCCUGGGGCGGUAGUACGUCCCAAGGGUUGGGCUGUUCGCCCAUGAAAGCGGUACGCGAGCUGGGUUCAGAACGUCGUGAGACAGUUCGGUCCAUAUCCGGUGUAGGCGUUAGAAUAUUGAGAGGAGCCUUCUUUAGUACGAGAGGACCGAGAAGGACAUACCUCUGGUGUACCAGUUAUCGUGCCAACGGUAAACGCUGGGUAGCUAUGUAUGGAGUGGAUAACCGCUGAAAGCAUCUAAGUGGGAAGCCCACCUCAAGAUAAGUAUUCUC